RNAcentral lists this long non-coding RNA (422 nucleotides) under Numida meleagris (helmeted guineafowl). Its description in RNAcentral is "lncRNA (ENSNMEG00000002401.1)". Lineage: Eukaryota; Metazoa; Chordata; Aves; Galliformes; Numididae. The record is from RNAcentral.
AUGGGGGGUGUACUGGGAGGGGUAUGCAAGGGAGAGAAAGGAAUGGAAACAAAGGGAAGGGAGAUGGGUUGUAUAGUGGGAGUGGAGAGCAAGGGAAUGGAAGGGAAGGGAAAUGGGGGAUGUAGUGGAAAGGGAGAGCAAGGGAAUGGAAGGAAAGUUAAAUGGGGUUGUAGUGGGAAAGGAGAGGAAUGCAGAGGAAGGGUAUUGAAAGGAAUGGAAGGGAAGGGAAAUGGGGGAUGUAGUGGGAAAGGAGAGCAAGGGAAUGGAAGGGAAUGGAAGGGAAGGGAAAAGGGGGGUGUAGUGGGGAGGGAGGGGAAGGGAAGGGAAGGGAAAUGGUGUUGCAGUUGGAAGGGAGAGAAUGGGAAUGGAAGGGAAUGGAAGGGAAGGGAAGGGAAGGGAAGGGAAGGGAAGGGAAGGGAAGG